RNAcentral lists this ribosomal RNA (468 nucleotides) under uncultured bacterium. Its description in RNAcentral is "partial 16S ribosomal RNA". It matches the Rfam family "Bacterial small subunit ribosomal RNA", at positions 28 to 507 of the family's 1533-position model. The record is from RNAcentral.
GACGAACGCUGGCGGCGUGCUUAACACAUGCAAGUCGAACGGAAAGGCCCUGCUUUUGUGGGGUGCUCGAGUGGCGAACGGGUGAGUAACACGUGAGUAACCUGCCCUUGACUUUGGGAUAACUUCAGGAAACUGGGGCUAAUACCGGAUAGGAGCUCCUGCUGCAUGGUGGGGGUUGGAAAGUUUCGGCGGUUGGGGAUGGACUCGCGGCUUAUCAGCUUGUUGGUGGGGUAGUGGCUUACCAAGGCUUUGACGGGUAGCCGGCCUGAGAGGGUGACCGGCCACAGUGGGACUGAGAUACGGCCCAGACUCCUACGGGUGGCAGCAGUGGGGAAGAUUGCACACUGGGCGGAAGCCUGAUGCAGCAACGCCGCGUGCGGGAUGACGGCCUUCGGGUUGUAAACCGCUUUCGCCUGUGACGAAGCGUGAGUGACGGUAAUGGGUAAAGAAGCACCGGCUAACUACGUG